GUUGUUGCAGUUAAAAAGCUCGUAGUCGGAUUUCAGUUCGAUGUUUGGUUCUCUACUGAGGGCCCGAUGUCGGAUUUCUUUGAUACGACCCUUCGUGCCCUUGAUUGUGGCGUGUCUGGCUAGUAUCUCUUUUACUUUGAGAAAAUUAGAGUGUUCAAAGCAGGUUAUCGCCUGAAUAUUACUCUUGGAAUAAUACUAUAGGACUCUGGUUCUAAUUUGUUGGUGACUUGGGACCGGAGUAUGAUUGAUAGGGACGGUUGGGGUGAUUCAUACUGCAAAGCGAGAGGUGAAAUUCUUGGACCUUUGUAUGAUGAACAACUGCGAAAGCAUUUCACCUAGGACGUUCCCCGUUGAUCAAGAACGAAAGUUGGGGGAUCGAAGACGAUCAGAUACCGUCG
RNAcentral lists this ribosomal RNA (398 nucleotides) under uncultured marine eukaryote. Its description in RNAcentral is "bacterial SSU rRNA". It matches the Rfam family "Eukaryotic small subunit ribosomal RNA", at positions 609 to 1020 of the family's 1831-position model. The record is from RNAcentral.